CCUACGGGAGGCAGCAGUGAGGAAUAUUGGUCAAUGGACGAGAGUCUGAACCAGCCAAGUAGCGUGAAGGAUGACUGCCCUAUGGGUUGUAAACUUCUUUUAUAUGGGAAUAAAACAGGGUAUGCAUACCCUCUUGUAUGUACCCUAUGAAUAAGGAUCGGCUAACUCCGUGCCAGCAGCCGCGGUAAUACGGAGGAUCCGAGCGUUAUCCGGAUUUAUUGGGUGUAAAGGGAGCGUAGGUGGAUUGUUAAGUCAGUUGUGAAAGUUUGCGGCUCAACCGUAAAAUUGCAGUUGAAACUGGCAGUCUUGAGUACAGUAGAGGUGGGCGGAAUUCGUGGUGUAGCGGUGAAAUGCUUAGAUAUCACGAAGAACACCGAUUGCGAAGGCAGCUCACUGGACUGCAACUGACACUGAUGCUCGAAAGUGUGGGGAUCAAACAGGAUUAGAUACCCCUGUAGUC
Molecule: ribosomal RNA, 460 nt
Filed under: uncultured bacterium
Lineage: Bacteria
Description: partial 16S ribosomal RNA
Rfam family: Bacterial small subunit ribosomal RNA
Source: RNAcentral